Molecule: ribosomal RNA, 832 nt
Filed under: uncultured Oscillospiraceae bacterium
Lineage: Bacteria; Bacillati; Bacillota; Clostridia; Eubacteriales; Oscillospiraceae
Description: bacterial SSU rRNA
Rfam family: Bacterial small subunit ribosomal RNA
Source: RNAcentral
GACGAACGCYGGCGGCGKGCCUAACACAUGCAAGUCGAACGGAACUGUUUGGAGCUUGCUUCGAAACAGUUAGUGGCGGACGGGUGAGUAACGCGUGAGCAACCUACCUUUCAGAGGGGGAUAACGUCUGGAAACGGACGCUAAUACCGCAUGACAUUUCAGAGCCGCAUGGUUUUGAGAUCAAAGGAGCAAUCCGCUGAGAGAUGGGCUCGCGUCCGAUUAGCCAGUUGGUGAGGUAACGGCCCACCAAAGCAACGAUCGGUAGCCGGACUGAGAGGUUGAACGGCCACAUUGGGACUGAGACACGGCCCAGACUCCUACGGGAGGCAGCAGUGGGGGAUAUUGCACAAUGGAGGAAACUCUGAUGCAGCAACGCCGCGUGAGGGAAGAAGGUCUUCGGAUUGUAAACCUUUGUCCUUGGUGAMRAUAAUGACGGUAGCCAAGGAGGAAGCUCCGGCUAACUACGUGCCAGCAGCCGCGGUAAUACGUAGGGAGCGAGCGUUGUCCGGAUUUACUGGGUGUAAAGGGUGCGUAGGCGGCUCUGCAAGUCAGGUGUGAAAACCAUCGGCUUAACUGAUGGACUGCAUUUGAAACUGUGGGGCUUGAGUGAAGUAGAGGCAGACGGAAUUCCCGGUGUAGCGGUGAAAUGCGUAGAGAUCGGGAGGAACACCAGUGGCGAAGGCGGUCUGCUGGGCUUUAACUGACGCUGAGGCACGAAAGCAUGGYUMGCUUUCAGGAUUAGAUACCCUGGUAGUCCAUGCCGUAAACGGCCCUCCUAGUGUGGGGGGUCUGACCCCCUCCGUGCCGGAGUUAACACAAUAAGUAAUCCACC